GAUAUCAAUUUUUGUACCGUCGAGGGACUGAUUACACAUGGAGAAACUACAAAAAAUAAUCCAAAAUUUGAGAUGGCCACUGGUGCGGCCUGUGCAAGCUAAUCCGUGCGUCCUAGCGGGCCGGGUUGAGAUUUCAUGCCCAGGACCGAACUGUGAAAUUGACGGUUUGGGCUGGCUGGUCCACAGGAUGAAACGUCUUGGCCCACACCGAUCUGCUACCGAUUUUCAUGGUUCAGGGAGCGCAUCUUGCAGUUUGUGGGCCUAGCGGGCUGGACUGAACUGGCAGUCUGACAUGAGAAUUUUUUAUCUUUGACAUUAUUGAAUCAUUGAAAUUAUUCAUUAUUGUCAAAUAAAAUUUGAUUGAUUUUAAUGAAUAAUUCAUUAUUUUGAA
This is a long non-coding RNA of Beta vulgaris subsp. vulgaris (sugar beet), 391 nucleotides long. RefSeq lists it as uncharacterized. The record is from RefSeq and is a predicted model, not a curated record. The transcript is spliced from 2 exons. Lineage: Eukaryota; Viridiplantae; Streptophyta; Magnoliopsida; Caryophyllales; Amaranthaceae.